GGGAAUAUUGGACAAUGGGCGCAAGCCUGAUCCAGCAAUGCCGCGUGAGUGAUGAAGGCCUUAGGGUUGUAAAGCUCUUUUACCCGGGAAGAUAAUGACGGUACCGGGAGAAUAAGCCCCGGCUAACUCCGUGCCAGCAGCCGCGGUAAUACGGAGGGGGCUAGCGUUGUUCGGAAUUACUGGGCGUAAAGCGCGCGUAGGCGGUUCUUUAAGUCAGAGGUGAAAGCCCGGUGCUCAACAUCGGAAUAGCCUUUGAGACUGGGGGACUAGAAUCCGGGAGAGGUGAGUGGAAUUCCGAGUGUAGAGGUGAAAUUCGUAGAUAUUCGGAAGAACACCAGUGGCGAAGGCGGCUCACUGGACCGGCAUUGACGCUGAGGUGCGAAAGCGUGGGGAGCAAACAGG
Molecule: ribosomal RNA, 402 nt
Filed under: uncultured bacterium
Lineage: Bacteria
Description: bacterial SSU rRNA
Rfam family: Bacterial small subunit ribosomal RNA
Source: RNAcentral